Molecule: ribosomal RNA, 637 nt
Filed under: Mycobacterium sp. So2Ps_1709
Lineage: Bacteria; Bacillati; Actinomycetota; Actinomycetes; Mycobacteriales; Mycobacteriaceae
Description: bacterial SSU rRNA
Rfam family: Bacterial small subunit ribosomal RNA
Source: RNAcentral
CCUGAUGCAGCGACGCCGCGUGGGGGAUGACGGCCUUCGGGUUGUAAACCUCUUUCAGCACAGACGAAGCGCAAGUGACGGUAUGUGCAGAAGAAGCACCGGCCAACUACGUGCCAGCAGCCGCGGUAAUACGUAGGGUGCGAGCGUUGUCCGGAAUUACUGGGCGUAAAGAGCUUGUAGGUGGUUUGUCGCGUUGUUCGUGAAAUCUCACGGCUCAACUGUGAGCGUGCGGGCGAUACGGGCAGACUAGAGUACUGCAGGGGAGACUGGAAUUCCUGGUGUAGCGGUGGAAUGCGCAGAUAUCAGGAGGAACACCGGUGGCGAAGGCGGGUCUCUGGGCAGUAACUGACGCUGAGAAGCGAAAGCGUGGGGAGCGAACAGGAUUAGAUACCCUGGUAGUCCACGCCGUAAACGGUGGGUACUAGGUGUGGGUUUCCUUCCUUGGGAUCCGUGCCGUAGCUAACGCAUUAAGUACCCCGCCUGGGGAGUACGGCCGCAAGGCUAAAACUCAAAGAAAUUGACGGGGGCCCGCACAAGCGGCGGAGCAUGUGGAUUAAUUCGAUGCAACGCGAAGAACCUUACCUGGGCUUGACAUGCACUAGAAAGCCGUAGAGAUACGGCCCCCCUUGUGGUUGGU